UACGGGGGGAGCAAGCGUUGUUCGGAUUUACUGGGCGUAAAGGGCGCGUAGGCGGCCAGCACAAGUCAGUUGUGAAAUCUCCGAGCUUAACUCGGAAAGGUCAACUGAUACUGUGCGGCUAGAGUGCAGAAGGGGCAACUGGAAUUCUUGGUGUAGCGGUGAAAUGCGUAGAUAUCAAGAGGAACACCUGCGGCGAAGGCGGGUUGCUGGGCCGACACUGACGCUGAGGCGCGAAAGCCAGGGGAGCGAACGGG
Molecule: ribosomal RNA, 254 nt
Filed under: uncultured bacterium
Lineage: Bacteria
Description: partial 16S ribosomal RNA
Rfam family: Bacterial small subunit ribosomal RNA
Source: RNAcentral